RNAcentral lists this small RNA (556 nucleotides) under Pan troglodytes (chimpanzee). RNAcentral's name for it is "processed transcript". Lineage: Eukaryota; Metazoa; Chordata; Mammalia; Primates; Hominidae. The record is from RNAcentral.
GCAAUAUGUGUGCAAGCAUUGUUAGAACCUUUAGAUAUGGUCUCACUUAAUCUUUACAAUCGCCCCAUGAAGGUGGCAGUAUUAUCUCCAUUUAAUAGAUGAGGAAGUCUAGACUGGGGGGUUAAGAAACCAAAGUUGUAAUUUUUGUUUGGCCACCAAUGAAAAAUGAAAACUCUAGACCAAAUGAUGGAUUUUUAAACUGUGUUUCUAGCAGCGCUUAGGCUUAGCAAAGAUGCCGGGGAUAGGAGGAGCUGCUGAGAGGGAAGGACUGGCCGUCGGCACCUCAGUUAUGGCAGCUCUGCCUUGGCGUGCUGGAAGAUGGACUGCCCUCCAAUGGUGUGCCCCGAUCUACAGCCCCAGGUGGAAUACCCAACCCAGAGAAGAAGACGAACUGUGAGAUCCAGUGCCCAAAUCCACAGAGCCUCAGCUCAGGCCCUCUGACCCAGAAACAGAAUGGCCUUCAGACCACAGAGGUGGCCUUCUAGAGACCUAAUCAUCAUUGCCAUCUCUCAAGACAGUCUGGACCCACAGAACUACGUUCAAAAGCUUGGUGACU